This 253-nucleotide ribosomal RNA is filed under the name uncultured bacterium. Its description in RNAcentral is "partial 16S ribosomal RNA". It matches the Rfam family "Bacterial small subunit ribosomal RNA", at positions 524 to 776 of the family's 1533-position model. The record is from RNAcentral.
UACGUAGGGUGCAAGCGUUGUCCGGAAUUAUUGGGCGUAAAGAGCUCGUAGGCGGUCUGUCGCGUCUGCUGUGAAAACUCGGGGCUUAACCCCGGGCCUGCAGUGGGUACGGGCAGACUAGAGUGCGGUAGGGGAGACUGGAAUUCCUGGUGUAGCGGUGAAAUGCGCAGAUAUCAGGAGGAACACCGGUGGCGAAGGCGGGUCUCUGGGCCGUAACUGACGCUGAGGAGCGAAAGUGUGGGGAGCGAACAGG